This 399-nucleotide ribosomal RNA is filed under the name uncultured bacterium. Its description in RNAcentral is "bacterial SSU rRNA". It matches the Rfam family "Bacterial small subunit ribosomal RNA", at positions 362 to 775 of the family's 1533-position model. The record is from RNAcentral.
UAUUGGACAAUGGGGGGAACCCUGAUCCAGCGACGCCGCGUGAGUGAAUAAGUAUCUCGGUAUGUAACGCGCUAUCAGCAGGGAAGAANGAAAUGACGGUAGCUGAGCAAGAAGCCCCGGCUAACUACGUGCCAGCAGCCGCGGUAAUACGUAGGUGGCAAGCGUUCUCCGGAAUUACUGGGUGUAAAGGGAGCGUAGACGGUGAUGUAAGUCUGGAGUGAAAGGCGGGGGCCCAACCCCCGGACUGCUCUGGAAACUAUGUGACUGGAGUGCAGGAGAGGUGAGCGGAAUUCCUAGUGUAGCGGUGAAAUGCGUAGAUAUUAGGAGGAACACCAGUGGCGAAGGCGGCUCACUGGACUGUAACUGACGUUGAGGCUCGAAAGCGUGGGGAGCAAACAG